UCUGUGAUUAAUUGCAGAACUUUAACUAUAUAUAGUAAAUUUGGCCACAGAUUUAUUUAAACCAAAUCUUAACUGAGAUUGGAAGAUAGAAGAAUUAAGAUCUGCAGGUGGGUAUUGCUAUUUUUUCUUCGUGACACUCUAAAUUUUACAUCAUGUAAAUCUAUUUCUGAAAUUCAGCAUAGUGUCAUUAAUAUAUGAUGCUUUUAGCAACUUCCCUUACAGCACAAGGCAGAAUAGUGCAUUCCCUUGAGGAAAUGAAAGGUUUCUGACUUCCAUGGAAAUGUAUACCAGAAGUUUCAUGAUUCUGCAGGGCCAAAAUAAUAUCUAAAAUUAAUCUAAAUUGGAGGGUUAUGAAAGACAAGCAAAUACUAUAAAAUUAUAAUAAGACAUGCAAAUUAGGUUCAGAAUUUAAUACUUCUGUAAAGUUUGAUUUUAUCAGUUUAAUAUCAGGAGUACCAAUUUGAUUUUCUAAAAGAAAAAAAGAAUGAUUAAGACAAAAUGGGUUUAAAUUCAAUCUUUUCUAACUGUAUAAUUGCGAUUGGAUUUAAUUUAAUUUUUUAAUAUAUCUCUCGUUUUUUUGCUGCUCAUGGACCAAAUUCAGAUUGUCUCUUGUGUUUGCAAAUAAAUUUUUUGGAUUUCAGUUAUAUUUAUUUAUACACAUAGUGUCUCUGGCUGCUUGUCACCAACUACAGCCUUUUCUAACCAAUCCUGCCCAAAUUAACUUCUUCCUCUGAACUCCAUAGCAUCAGAGCAUGAUUGUAUAUUGUGUUAUGGUACCUGUUUCAUUUAUAUUAUACUGGUAUUUGUUCUUGUUUAUUACUUUAAAUUAUAAUAUCUCUGAGAGUAGCAACUAUAUAUUCUUCCUCACCUUAUCCCUAGCACAGCUAUGAUCAAAGUAGACACUAAAUAAUUAUUCUCUUUCUCUUUGGUAUCAUGGAGCUUGCAGAGUGUAUGAUCAAUUGUCCCUCAUCUUUCAAAGGACCUGGAUCUAGUGUUUUGCACUUAGGUAAAAGUAAUUAUGCUUACUUAGGGAAAAUCACUGUAGUUGGGACAGAUUUACAAAGAUAAAUACAGGAAGCAGACUGCAGUGAAUUGGUUAUCCUGCCUGGGUUAUAAGGAAUUGCAGAAAACAGUUGUGGGGAAAUGAUAGAUCUGUAUUGAAAAUCUAAAAUUUAUGUCUCUAAUGCAGACUAACAUAUACAGUUCUCAUUACAUGGGUGAAAGUGAAAAUACUAGAGAAUAUUUUGUAUCCCACAGUGUAUAAAGGAGAGCCAUUGACUUAUAAUGCGACUGUUUGUUGUUGUUGCUAAUACUUAUUGAUUCUCUACAAUGUACUUCAGAGUUUAUUAGAAAAGCACAAAAGAUGCAGUUUUUUUCUUUCAACCCAUAAGAUGGAGCCAAGACAGUCAUCUUAUCCACCUCCCUUCCUGGUUGCUUAGUUUUUUGGUGAUUUAACCUUUAGAAAAAUGACUACAGUGUAUCUAUGCAGCUUAUUGUUAGUACUUUACUUUUCAUUAAUAUUUAAAAUAAGAUUAUUUUAUUGUUAUUGCAAUGCCUUUGUUUUCUGUUUUAGAGACUGUGACAGUUUAGUUGUUAGAAGUAAGUAUAACUUACUAAUGCAAAGACUUGCUAAAGCAUUAGGAUAGAAAUGUGGUAGUUAUUUGAACUAGAUCUGAUAUCAAGAAACAUUUAUUUAGAAGGUUUGAAACAGUAUCACAGGGUCUUCCCUCCCCCUAGUUGGUUUUCAGGGUACCCAUAAAUGUAAUGAAAAUUAUAUGUUACAAAUGGGUUGAGGGGAAUGUAUAUACAUGUGCCAUAUUUUUUUAUUACAUUUCUUCAUUAAGAAGAAUAUUUCAGAAUAAUGAAUAAUUUUUAAGUAGACAUGCAACUAGUUUUGAAAAUACAGAAAAUUAUAAAAACAAUUUAUCAUUUUUCCAAAAUAUCAAGCAUUGGUACAACUUAUAUAUCUCUGUCUCACAAAUGAUAAAACAUGUUUGAAGAAAAGUAAUUUAUGAUCAUAGCAGUUUCUGAUUGAGCAAUGACUUGAAAAACAUACCAAAAAUAGUAAAGGAAGACUAUACAUGUUUACUUCAUUUUUGAUUGUUGUGUUGGGUUCACACAAGGUUUUAGAUGUGGUAGGGGGCACAUAGGAAAAAUCAUCCUAGAUCACCAGGAAGUUGGAUUUAUUGCUUGGUCCUUGAAAAUAACACUGAAUAAAAUGUACUCAUAACAUUCAUGCAUACCUACCUCACUCACUCCUGAUACCAUUCAAAAGACAAAAGUGUGUUGUUUACUAUAGCAGCACUUAAGUUUUUUCACUAAAAUUACUUCUUAUUACUGAAAGAAUUUCUGUGAGUUUUUAAAAGAUUUCCUGAAAGUCCAAAGGAAGUUUCUACCUACAAAUCUUGUAAGUAUUAAAGAGUAGUAGCACUUUUUGGUUGGAAAAUGUUUAGGUUAAGAGCAGUAUGUCAUUCCCCUUUGUUUAGAAGGCAGAAGACAAUAUGGACUGAAAUAAACUUGUUGUUUCCUUUACAUACUG
This 2539-nucleotide long non-coding RNA is filed under the name Sus scrofa (pig). Its description in RNAcentral is "lncRNA (ENSSSCG00000047556.1, ENSSSCG00045033362.1, ENSSSCG00055018471.1, ENSSSCG00130002343.1)". Lineage: Eukaryota; Metazoa; Chordata; Mammalia; Artiodactyla; Suidae. The record is from RNAcentral.